This 534-nucleotide long non-coding RNA is filed under the name Populus tremula. RNAcentral describes it as "long non-coding RNA (PTRE_LNC000927)". Lineage: Eukaryota; Viridiplantae; Streptophyta; Magnoliopsida; Malpighiales; Salicaceae. The record is from RNAcentral.
UCAGAUCCAAUGGGACACAUAGAAAAUAUUGUCUAAGGAAAACUUCAGAGAAUCAAGCUUUUUUUGGUGGUUUGGCAUGAUGUCUUCUGUGCAAUCAAAUUUCAAAUUCUUGGCUUUAAUAUUGAUUGUGUGUCUUUCCUUUUUGCGCUGCGGUCCAAACAGCUUUUUGCAAAAUUUUUAAUUUUUUUUUUUAUUAAAAUUGAGUGCAGUUUGUAUUUUUUGGAUCGUUUUGAUGUGCUGAUAUCAAAAAUGAUUUUUAAAAAAUGAAAAAACAUUAUUGGCAUGCUUUUCGACACGAAAAGCUAUUUGAAAAGCAACAGCUACCACACUUCCAAACACCCUCUUAAAUGCUUUGAUUAGUAUGAUAGCAAGUUUGUACAUUUGAAUAAACUCAAUUUCAUUUCCGCAAAUUGCUAUUUGCACUUAUUAGAGAUUGUUCAUUCUAUGCACUGAUAUAUUUUAGUUUAUUGAAUUGAGUUGCAGUUAUUGAAUUUAGCCUGGCACUAUUUAAUUUUUCAUCCAACAACAUACCAG